GCCCCCCUCUGCGUGUUCACAGUGGACCUUGAUUUAAUGUCCAUACAAUUAAGGCACGCGGUGAAUGCCAAGAGAGGGGCU
This is a non-coding RNA of Xenopus laevis (African clawed frog), 81 nucleotides long. NCBI's taxonomy places the organism in Eukaryota, Metazoa, Chordata, Amphibia, Anura, Pipidae. The record is from Rfam.